UUCUAAAUAAAGACCAGUAUGAAUGGCUAAAUGAGGACAGACCUGUCUCCUGUGACUAACCAGUGAAACUGAUCUUCCAGUACAAAAGCUGGAAUACAGACACAAGACGAGAAGACCCUGUGGAGCUUCAAACACCCACUAACAAGCAAACAUUUGCCCUAGUGUAUAGUUUUAAGUUGGGGCGACUUCGGAGUAAAAUAAAACCUCCGAGCACAGAGCCACACACUCUUACCAAGGCCAACAAGCCAAAGUUAAAACAACCGAUCCGGUAUUACCGAUCAACGAACCAAGUUACCCCAGGGACAACAGCGCUAUCUUCUUCAAGAGUCCCUAUCGACAAGAAGGUUUACGACCUCGAUGUUGGAUCAGGACACCCAAAUGGUGCAGCCGCUAUUAACGGUUCGUUUGUUCAACGAUUAACAGUCCUACGUGAUCU
RNAcentral lists this ribosomal RNA (436 nucleotides) under Scincus mitranus (Eastern skink). RNAcentral describes it as "partial large subunit ribosomal RNA". It matches the Rfam family "Bacterial large subunit ribosomal RNA", at positions 1974 to 2606 of the family's 2925-position model. The record is from RNAcentral. Lineage: Eukaryota; Metazoa; Chordata; Lepidosauria; Squamata; Scincidae.